RNAcentral lists this long non-coding RNA (296 nucleotides) under Brassica napus (rape). RNAcentral describes it as "long non-coding RNA (BNAP_LNC007321)". The record is from RNAcentral. Lineage: Eukaryota; Viridiplantae; Streptophyta; Magnoliopsida; Brassicales; Brassicaceae.
GGGUUCUUCUUCAUGGGUCUCUUCCAUUCACCGCAUCCUGGUGCUGCUUCACACUUGGGGUUGUCAAUCUUUGGUGCCUCCCACAUACCAUCUUCCUCAUCGUCCCAGUCUUCAGGUUUGGUCGCCUCUGGGUCGUCCACCUCCUCAGGCUCAUCAUCUAACCAUCCUUCGGGCUUCUCAGCUUCGUCGUCUUCUAUCUCCAUGGGUGCAUCCUCGUCCCAGUCCUCAGGCUUCACGGCGUUAGGGUCAGGAAUCUUGGCUCUCUCAUCCCAGUCUUCUGGUUUCUUGUCUUCAGG